RNAcentral lists this ribosomal RNA (254 nucleotides) under uncultured bacterium. RNAcentral's name for it is "partial 16S ribosomal RNA". It matches the Rfam family "Bacterial small subunit ribosomal RNA", at positions 524 to 776 of the family's 1533-position model. The record is from RNAcentral.
UACGAAGGGGGCUAGCGUUGUUCGGAAUCACUGGGCGUAAAGCGCACGUAGGCGGAUUAUUAAGUCGGGGGUGAAAUCCCGAGGCUCAACCUCGGAACUGCCUUCGAUACUGGUAAUCUUCGAGUCCGGGAGAGGUGAGUGGAAUUCCCAGUGUAGAGGUGAAAUUCGUAGAUAUUGGGAAGAACACCAGUGGCGAAGGCGGCUAACUGGUCCGGUACUGACGCUGAGGUGCGAAAGCGUGGGGAGCAAACAGG